Molecule: long non-coding RNA, 523 nt
Organism: Sapajus apella (tufted capuchin)
Lineage: Eukaryota; Metazoa; Chordata; Mammalia; Primates; Cebidae
Exons: 2
Source: RefSeq, a predicted model, not a curated record
AGACUCCGUCUCAAAAAUAAAUAAAUAAAAAUUUACAAAGCAGCAGAGAUUAGGACACGGACACACACAGGGGGACGACCAUGAGAAGACAUGAGAAGGUGGCCAUCUACAAGCCGAGGAGAGAGGCCUCAGAAGAAACGGACCCUACUGUCACCUUGAUCUCAAACUUCCAGCCUCCAGGACUGUGAGACAAUGCACUUCUAUGACUGAAGCCAUGCAGUCUGGGUGCUCUGUUAACUGCAGGUGCCCCUCAGCCUCCCUCCUCUGGCUCACGGCCCUACCCACUCGCACUGGCUGCUGCCCGCAGGUCCCUGCCAUCUGUCUGCCUUCUGCCUGGCUUCCUUUCCACUUCUGUACUGUCUACCCAGUGGACUCCUCCAUCUCCGGUUCUCCUUCUCGAGAUUUUGAACUCCUGAGCUCAAGCAAUCCUCCCCCCUUGUACCAGCUCUCAGCGCGGGCUGCCUCCCAGAAAGUCCUCAGGCUCUGUCCACCCGCCCCCAGUACAAACACUCUCAUGUCAUGA